This 371-nucleotide ribosomal RNA is filed under the name uncultured organism. Its description in RNAcentral is "bacterial SSU rRNA". It matches the Rfam family "Bacterial small subunit ribosomal RNA", at positions 526 to 896 of the family's 1533-position model. The record is from RNAcentral.
CGUAGGGUGCAAGCGUUAAUCGGAAUUACUGGGCGUAAAGCGUGCGCAGGCGGUUUUGUAAGUCUGAUGUGAAAUCCCCGGGCUCAACCUGGGAAUUGCAUUGGAGACUGCAAGGCUAGAAUCUGGCAGAGGGGGGUAGAAUUCCACGUGUAGCAGUGAAAUGGCGUAGAUAUGUGGAGGAACACCGAUGGCGAAGGCAGCCCCCUGGGUCAAGAUUGACGCUCAUGCACGAAAGCGUGGGGAGCAAACAGGAUUAGAUACCCUGGUAGUCCACGCCCUAAACGAUGUCUACUAGUUGUCGGGUCUUAAUUGACUUGGUAACGCAGCUAACGCGUGAAGUAGACCGCCUGGGGAGUACGGUCGCAAGAUUA